RNAcentral lists this long non-coding RNA (1521 nucleotides) under Macaca mulatta (Rhesus monkey). RNAcentral describes it as "lncRNA (ENSMMUG00000064899.1)". Lineage: Eukaryota; Metazoa; Chordata; Mammalia; Primates; Cercopithecidae. The record is from RNAcentral.
GGGAGAGUUUUCUCCUUGGAUGGGGAACGAGGGGCUGAGAGCCUGAGACCGGGCGUACUCCAGAAUCCACACCCAGUCCCUGGCUGGAGGCAGCCGCUCUUUGCCUGAGCUACAGUCCUGAGGCUGAGCCAUUACCCUGAGUGACCCAUCCCUGAGAGACCAAGAGGCAGUGGGGCUGAGCCAUGCUUUAGAUGUCACCCCUCAGUCCCAGAAGGGAUACCCUGCAGGUCACCAAACAAGAGUCGAAUUGUUCUCUGUGAAAAAGUCAACCUCUUGAGCAUGAAAAAGCCCUAGCACUGGUGGUAGAAACCAGCUGAAGCAGGGGUGGCUAAGCCUUCUGUGAGGAGGAAAUUCUUUUUAUUUUCUAGAAUCUGCGAUUCCGGAGGAGACUGUGGAGGGAAGGCCUCCUCUUCUGAGAGUGGGGUGGUGAAAUAAGGAGCCUGUGAAGCCGAGGCUCUUCUCACUGGGAGCCCUGACUAAUCAAGAACAGCCAGGGCAGCAGCUCCGUCUGUGGCCAGCAGAAAUCUUUCUGAUGCCCCCUGGCUUAGAGGAAAGAGAAACUGUGGGAUUAUAGCUAUCCCAUAAAAAAAGCAAAAUUCAUCUUUUUCACUUUCAUCUGUGGGUCAGAAAAUAGACAGUGAGGGCUGAACGUCCUUCCACAAUGGGUUGGCCAGGAUAGCGUCUGGUGUCUAAGGGCCAGAGGCAGGUGAGGGGAGUGGAGGCUGAGAGCGGCUCUGAGGGAGGAGGGCCCCACUGUUGGCGGCUGCUUCCCCUCCUCGUAUUUUCUCCCUCUUCUCUCUGUUUCGAUCUACUAAUACUUCCGCGUUUCUGUUUCUCCUCCUAGCCUGGCUUUUCUACUCUUGGAGAGGCACUCAAAGAAGGCUCACAGCAGAUCUGCACAGGAAGCACAAAGCUCUGGUUACCACUGGAAGCCAUCUCAUCCCCAUAAACCAGCCUUAGGAUGCCACUGAUGCUGGAUGGCAGAAUGGAGUAACAGAGAGAAGUAAGUUGUUGAUGACACCAUUCACUGCUGAUUGUACCAUGUCUGGAAUCUGGUCUACAUCUUGAUUUCAGCUAUUUCCAGAUAUUUUAAUCGAAUGUAAGCCAAUGUGAAUCAUGUUUUUAUGACUUGCAUCAGUAAGCAUUGUAACUGAGAUGCAUAAGUUGCCAUUGAAGAAACUAUGACUAAACGGAUGUAAGAAUCAGUUAGCUAUAAAAAUGGAUGACAGACUGGGUGUGGUGGGUCAUGCCUGUAAUCUUAAUGCUUUUGGAGGCUGAGGUAGGAGGAUCACUUGAGGCCCAGAAUUCAAGGUUACAGUGAAUUUCUAUCGUGCCACUGUACUGCCGCCUGGGCCACAGAGCAAGACUCUGUCUCAAAAAGGAAAAAGAAAAGAAAGAAAUAAAAAGGAAAAGAGAAAGAAAUGGAUGACAGGUCAUAAGAGUUGUCACAUAAUGUUUUCUAAGCACUAGGCAGUGGUCUUCGUAUUCUAUGUACGUUAAUUUAUCAUCAUAAGAACUCAG